Molecule: ribosomal RNA, 253 nt
Filed under: uncultured bacterium
Lineage: Bacteria
Description: partial 16S ribosomal RNA
Rfam family: Bacterial small subunit ribosomal RNA
Source: RNAcentral
GACGUAGGGCGCGAGCGUUGUCCGGAUUUAUUGGGCGUAAAGAGCUCGUAGGCGGCUUGUCGCGUCGGCUGUGAAAACCCGCGGCUCAACUGUGGGCGGGCAGCUGAUACGGGCAGGCUGGAGUUCGGUAGGGGAGACUGGAAUUCCUGGUGUAGCGGUGAAAUGCGCAGAUAUCAGGAAGAACACCCGUGGCGAAGGCGGUUCUCUGGGACGGUACUGACGCUGAGACGCGAAAGCGUGGGGAGCGAACAGG